This 81-nucleotide transfer RNA is filed under the name Achromobacter insuavis. Its description in RNAcentral is "tRNA-Gly". Lineage: Bacteria; Pseudomonadati; Pseudomonadota; Betaproteobacteria; Burkholderiales; Alcaligenaceae. RNAcentral also lists the same sequence under 4 other names. The record is from RNAcentral.
CGCGGUAUUGAACAGGCGCGGCGCUUGCGGCACUUCCAUUGCCGCCAGCUUCUGGCCGGGUUCGAACCCCCACGACCGCGU